Helianthus annuus (common sunflower) is the source of this 958-nucleotide long non-coding RNA. RefSeq lists it as uncharacterized. NCBI's taxonomy places the organism in Eukaryota, Viridiplantae, Streptophyta, Magnoliopsida, Asterales, Asteraceae. The record is from RefSeq and is a predicted model, not a curated record. The transcript is spliced from 2 exons.
UUACGCCAAACACUGCAGACCUCACCCUUCUUCCCCACCUAGCCGUAAACCCCUUACCUCACCAUUUACACCCUCAAUUACCCUCUACACCCACCAUAUUAUCACCAAAAACCUCCAUUAUCACCUAAAAUUAUCUCACCCUCUCAUCUAUCACUUAAAUACAUCAUUAUCCACUGAAACAUUACGUAACCUUUACCUCUACACAGUUAACACCAAUCUCCACCGAUAAACCCUCCAACCUCCAUUACCACCUGAACUUCACAAACAUCCCACUUACAGCCGACACACUACCACCCACCACCUCUCCCCACCGCCGUAACCCCUACCUGCCGACCACCCCCUUACAACCACCUCACCCCACCCCCUUACCACCGUAAACCCUAGCCCUCCUCCCUAAACCGCCGCUAAACCUCUUCCUCUCCUAUCCGCCGCCGACCACCCUAACACUCCUCCCUAAACCACCAAUAACCUACCCCACAGCCGAUACACCCAAUAUCCCAUCUAACCAGUACCACCGCCAAUCCCUCCAUAAUCAUCUCACACCUAAGUUCUUCCACAUUCCUACCAUCUUUCACCAUAGAAAUUGGAUUUUGCAUGGGGUUUCAAGGUUCAGCCGAGAAUUUUCUCUAUUCCUUCUUUUUUUUUUCUCACAAAUCUCAGAAUGUCACGUGCAGGAACUUCAAGUCGGGCCAACAGGAAACGAGACUGAGACACUCGCUCAGGAAAGGGCCCAGUGGGACACAGGCGGGUGAUGAGGUGUUGGAUGAUGCGGAGUAGAGCGAGGAUGCAGCGAGGAUGACAGCUUAUAUCUUUUGUUUAUUUUUAUCUUUAUGCUGUUUUUAAUCCUCGUCUAUUGGUUUGUACUUAAAUACAUUAAACAAGUUGGUUGGGAUUUUGGGGUUGGUUGAUAUAAUUGUGGAUGGUUGUUGAACGUGAUAUAUUAUAUUAUCUUUUGCUA